RNAcentral lists this ribosomal RNA (465 nucleotides) under Vreelandella stevensii. RNAcentral's name for it is "partial 16S ribosomal RNA". It matches the Rfam family "Bacterial small subunit ribosomal RNA", at positions 338 to 795 of the family's 1533-position model. The record is from RNAcentral. Lineage: Bacteria; Pseudomonadati; Pseudomonadota; Gammaproteobacteria; Oceanospirillales; Halomonadaceae.
CCUACGGGUGGCUGCAGUGGGGAAUAUUGGACAAUGGGCGAAAGCCUGAUCCAGCCAUGCCGCGUGUGUGAAGAAGGCCUUCGGGUUGUAAAGCACUUUCAGUGGGGAAGAAAGCCUUGGGGCUAAUACCCUCGAGGAAGGACAUCACCCACAGAAGAAGCACCGGCUAACUCCGUGCCAGCAGCCGCGGUAAUACGGAGGGUGCGAGCGUUAAUCGGAAUUACUGGGCGUAAAGCGCGCGUAGGCGGUCUGAUAAGCCGGUUGUGAAAGCCCCGGGCUCAACCUGGGAACGGCAUCCGGAACUGUCAGGCUAGAGUGCAGGAGAGGAAGGUAGAAUUCCCGGUGUAGCGGUGAAAUGCGUAGAGAUCGGGAGGAAUACCAGUGGCGAAGGCGGCCUUCUGGACUGACACUGACGCUGAGGUGCGAAAGCGUGGGUAGCAAACAGGAUUAGAUAACCUAGUAGUC